AGUUAUUGGUCGCUUAGCUCAUCGACUCGGUCGUGACAUUUGGUAUCGAGCCGACCUAGCAUUUGGGCAGGGUGAGAGGGCUCGGUAGGAAAGGGCUACCCGUGGAUGGAGUCGAGAACUCAUCACGGCAUGGAGCCACCACUAAGUUAAACCUCACAUGCACCGUGCUUAGGGUUCGAUCCGAUAUGUCCGGCCUUGACGAGGACGCCAAGCUUAAUUGAGUUGGGGAUAAUGUAACAUCCCAUUAGUCCCACAUCGGAAGUGGGGAAUGUGUGUGAUUAGCUUAUAAGGGCCCGAUGAGUGUACCACGUUACCUCCUCGCUUAAGCAUUUUGGUCCGUGGUUGCAAGGACCAAAAUGGAGUUAUUGGCCGCUUAGCUCAUCGACUCUGGUCGCGACAAAGAAGCGCCAAGAAAUUACCCAAUCCCGACAAUGGGAGGUAGUGACAAUAAAUAACAAUACCGGGAUCUUCGAGUUUGGUAAUUGAAUGAGUACAAUCUAAAUCCCUUUAACGAGGAUCCAUUGAGGGCAAGUCCGGUGCCAAGCGUAAUUCCAAAUUCCAGCUCCAAUAGCGAUAUUUAAGUUGUUGCGCUUAAAAAAGCUCAGAGUUGGACUUUGGGGAUCGGUCGGUCGGUUCGCCCAUGGUGUGCAACUUGGUCGUCCCAUCCCUUCGUCGUCGGGCGAUGCGUGUCUGGCCUUAAUCGGUCGGGUCGUGGCCUCCAAAUCACAGUUACUUUGAAGAAAUUAGAGUGCUCAAAGCAAGCCCACGCCUCGAUACAUUAGCAUGGGAUAACAUCACAGAUUUCGGUCCUAUUGUGUUGGCCUUCGGAUCGGAGUAAUUAUUAAGAGGGACAGCUUGGGGCAUUCGUAUUUCAUAGUCGAGGGUGAAAUUCUUGGAUUUAUGAAAGACGAACCACCGCGAAAAGCAUUUGCCAAGGAUGUUUUCAUUAAUCAAGAACGAAAAGUUGGGGCUCAAGACGAUCGAUACCGCCCUAGUCUCAACCAUAAACGAUGCCACCGUGGAUCGCGGGAUGUUGCUUUAGGACUCCGCCGGCACCUUAUGAGAAAUCAAAGUCUUUGGGUUCCGGGGAGUAUGGUCGCAAGGUCGAAACUUAAAGGAAUUGACGGAAGGGCACCACCAGAGUGGAGCCUACGGCUUAAUUUGACUCAACACGGGAAAUUUACCAGUCCGCAUAAAGCAAGGAUUGACAGAUCGAGAGCUCUUUUUUGAUUCUAUGGGUGGUGGUGCAUGGCCGUCUUAGUUGGUGGAGUGAUUUGUCCGGUUAAUUCCGAUAACGAACGAGACCUCACCGCUAACUAGCUACGCGAGGCAUCCUCCGCCACCAGCUUUUAGAGGGACUAUGGCCGCUUAGGCCACGGAAGUUUGAGGCAAUAACAGUGUCUGUGAUGCCCUUAGAUGUUCUGGGCCGCACGCUGCUAAUCGAUGUAUUCAACGAAGUCUAUAGCCUUGGCCGACAGUGCCCGCAAUCUUUUGAAAAUUUCAUCUUGAUGGGGAUAGAUCAUUGCAAUUGUUGGUCUUCAACGAGGAAUUCCUAGUAAGCGCGAGUCAUCACCGCUGACUACAUCCCCGCCCUUUGUACACACCGCCGCCGCUUCCUACCGAUUGAAUGGUCCGGGUGAAGUGUUCGGAUCGAGGCGACGGGGCGGUUCGCCGCCUCGCGACGCCGCGAGAAGUCCACCGAACCUUAUCAUUUAGAGGAAGGAGAAGUCGAAUAAGGUUUCCGAGGGUGAACUCGCGAAGG
RNAcentral lists this ribosomal RNA (1762 nucleotides) under Musa schizocarpa. RNAcentral's name for it is "bacterial SSU rRNA". The stretch from base 336 to 1762 matches the Rfam family "Eukaryotic small subunit ribosomal RNA". The record is from RNAcentral. Lineage: Eukaryota; Viridiplantae; Streptophyta; Magnoliopsida; Zingiberales; Musaceae.